RNAcentral lists this long non-coding RNA (362 nucleotides) under Dasypus novemcinctus (nine-banded armadillo). RNAcentral's name for it is "lncRNA (ENSDNOG00000052752.1)". The record is from RNAcentral. Lineage: Eukaryota; Metazoa; Chordata; Mammalia; Cingulata; Dasypodidae.
CAGUGGGGGAAGAGACCAACGGAGGAAGAGGCAGGAGCAUUCUUCCUCCCUGCUCACUACCCGUCACCCUGCCUUUUAAAAGCUUCUGAGGUGUCAUCUUAGGAGUGCCAUCAGUGGUUGGAUAAGCUGUCCCCAGCUCUUCAUUGAUCAGUUCACGUGUCCACGCUUCCUUUCUGAGGGCCUUCUUGGACAGCGGGCACACCAGGAACCCCAGCAGCGCCACGUCGAGGUCGCGGGACGGCUCCCCCGCCUGUUCCCAUGCGCCGAGGGCCGGGCCCGGAUGCGUGCAGCCACCUACGGCCAACCGGGGACGGUGGCGAGAGAGCGGCCGGGGCGAGGGAGCCUGCCCCUCGCGCGCUCCU